Pelobates cultripes (western spadefoot toad) is the source of this 1765-nucleotide non-coding RNA. NCBI's taxonomy places the organism in Eukaryota, Metazoa, Chordata, Amphibia, Anura, Pelobatidae. The record is from the annotation of a GenBank genome assembly.
UUCAGAGAAUAAUCUGCUUAUUAUAUUUGAUUCUUUUGCAGUUGCUUUCUUUGAAACCAUCACUUAAACAUAACGAAACAUUCUCUUGAUGUGAAAAUGUGUUUUCUGAGCUAUUUUCAACAUGAAACAUUUUCCAGACCUGCUAAGCUUAUAUUCCCCAGAGUACUUGAGAUACCGGCAAGGUGAAGACUUUUACCUAUAUAAAAUAAUGUUGAAAUCUUCCUUUUAACUCAGAACAUUUGUGAAAUGUGUAUGCUGCAGGCUUAUAUUAAAAAAAUAUGCUACCCUGCAGGAUGCAUUUUCAAUAGACAGUGAGUAUGUGAGUGAAGGUCUGCUCAUCCUAAUAAUGAGGGAUCUCCAACAUUCUGCACUACAGGUGUUGCAGACUAUGACUCAUCAUGCAGAGCCAGCAAAGUGGUAGCUUAGUCCUAUAAGAGUCAUAGGCUUCAGCAGCAGGAGAACCAGAGGCUACCUAUCCUUGCAAAUGAUAAGCACUACGAGUGACAGAGAAGUGUGCACAACACAGUAAUGCAUAUAUUUCUGAAAUCCAAUGACUAAAUUGUUUCCUACAGCUAUAUAGAAAGGAUUUUGAAAAAUAAGUUAAACUUUUCUAAUUUUGUGGGGGGAUGUUAUUUGGUAGAGAAUGUUUAUAAAAAAAAAAAAUAGAAAAGGCAUAUAUAGUUUUACAAGAACAGAAUGAUGGUUUAAAUGGAUACAUCUGUACAGGAAGUUAUGAGAUGUGGGUAUUGUUUUAGGUAAUCUACCAUGUAUUAAGGUAACAGAAAUACUUUUUAAAAAAAAUUGAAACCAUAUUUUUGGUGGUUACUAGAGACUUUACUAAAUAAAAACCUUUGAAAAUCACAGCAAAAUGACAUUGUGAUGAAGUGCCCUUCACCACUUGUGCCUGAAGAGGACUAAUGACUAGCUUUUUAACAUGUGACUAUGGUCCCUGGGAGUUAUUGCCAUUUAAACGCCUUUAUUUAUGGCUAUUGUACUUUGGAGACUGUUUCUGGCCCUUUAAAUGGUAUUGCUACAAUUCUGCACUUGUGAAGUGGCACUUCAGACACAGCCAAAGUGCCGAAGUAUUUGAAGUGGCCGCCAUUCGACAAACAAACACGUGGUGGCCAUUUUAAUUUAGCCAAACGUGGUCAGCUGUGUUUUGCCGUCGAGUUCAUGGAACUAAAAUCGGAUACUCAAUGUCACGGAAGUUUUACCUUCUUUGUAAUUUCACACUUCGAAUGGAGUCGAAUGGCAUUCGACAAUACAAACGCCACAGUAACAUUGUAGAUUUGCAUGAACGGUAGUUGAACUGUAGUAAAUGGAGCGACCGCACAGCCAAAAUCUAUGGAACUGUUUUGGGCAGGAAAGCCAUGCUGUGGUCAGUCAAAUAAAACUUCCAGCUAACUCCCGAACGGCUGAACGGGUUUGCAUGAUUUUUGUAUAUGUUUGUUCCCUAAUUAUGCUGUUUCAGAAAAUAAGUUUUAUGUGAAUGUGAUGUAUAAUUUUAAAGUUAUAGAAAUUGUGUAAAAAGUGUAUUUUUCGCUUGGAAAUAAUUGACCUGAUACAGUAAUUAGCCCAAUUAUCUCCCAAGCAGAGGGGAGGAAUUUACUGUAAUGAAUGGGAGUGUUUAAUCGUGUGUCUGUAUAUGAUUUGUUGUUACGUUUGUGUUUUCAGUACCCAACAAUGUCCACAUGGGUGGUAACCUUGUGGGGAAAUGUGUAUAAAAGAAGCAAUAAAGCCUCAGUGCAUUCUGUUCAUGUUUGAC